Molecule: long non-coding RNA, 391 nt
Filed under: Homo sapiens (human)
Lineage: Eukaryota; Metazoa; Chordata; Mammalia; Primates; Hominidae
Description: HSALNT0065522
Source: RNAcentral
CUGUAAUCCCAGCUACUUGGGAGGCUAAGGCAGGAGAAUUGCCUGAACCUGGGAGGCGGAGGUUGCAGUGAGCCAAGAUCGCGCCACUGCACGCCAGCCUGGGCGGCAGAGCGAGACUCCGUCUCAAAAAAAUGACAGUCCUCAUGAGGUGGGUGGUGCCUUUCCCAUUUUUCUCUGAGAGGUUGAGUAAACCACCCAAGGCUUCACAGCGAGUAAUCUGACUUCAGAGCCUAUAUUCUUGUAUUGCCCUCAGAAUCUUUAGCGCUUUGUGAAGUCUUCUUUGAGUUAGAGUUAGCUGCUUGGUAUAUACCUUUUUUUUUUUGAGACGCAGCCUUUCUCUGUUGCCCAGGCUGGAGUGUAGUGGCACGAUUUUAGCUCACCACAACCUCCG